This 351-nucleotide ribosomal RNA is filed under the name Inocarpus fagifer. RNAcentral's name for it is "eukaryotic LSU rRNA". The stretch from base 1 to 110 matches the Rfam family "5.8S ribosomal RNA", at positions 47 to 154 of the family's 154-position model. The record is from RNAcentral. Lineage: Eukaryota; Viridiplantae; Streptophyta; Magnoliopsida; Fabales; Fabaceae.
AGCGAAAUGCGAUACUUGGUGUGAAUUGCAGAAUCCCGUGAACCAUCGAGUCUUUGAACGCAAGUUGCGCCCGAAGCCAUUAGGCCGAGGGCACGCCUGCCUGGGCGUCACCAAUCGCCGCCCCCGACCCCAGCGCCUCCGGGCGCGGUGCGGGGCGUAUGCUGGCUUCCCGUGAGCACGCUCCUCGCGGUUGGCUGAAAAUCGGGUUCGUGGCCGAGCGCGGCGCCGUGGCAGAUGGUGGUAGAGUGCGAAAAAAUCUCGAGGCCGGCCAUGCGCGCCUCUCUGCCAAUCACGGACCCCGCGACCCUUCGAGCGACGCCGAUCGCCCGAGAUGCGACCUCAGGUCAGGCG